UCCUCUGUGGUGCAGAUGGUUAGCUUGCUUGGCUGCUACCCAAACAGUUGGAGGUUCGAGUCCAUCUAGAUGUA
This 74-nucleotide transfer RNA is filed under the name Loxodonta africana (African savanna elephant). It matches the Rfam family "tRNA". Rfam says of the family: Transfer RNA (tRNA) molecules are approximately 80 nucleotides in length. Their secondary structure includes four short double-helical elements and three loops (D, anti-codon, and T loops). The record is from Rfam by way of RNAcentral. Lineage: Eukaryota; Metazoa; Chordata; Mammalia; Proboscidea; Elephantidae.